GAUGAAGAACGUAGCGAAAUGCGAUAAGUAAUGUGAAUUGCAGAAUUCAGUGAAUCAUCGAAUCUUUGAACGCACAUUGCGCCCCCUGGAAUUCCGGGGGGCAUGCCUGUUCGAGCGCCUCAGGGACGAACCCUCGCGCGGGUGUACGCGCGGUCGUGGCUGCGGUGGCGUGCCCGAGGCGGCGGCCACCGCGCUGGAAUCCAUGGGCGGACGCCUGCCGCGUGGCCGAGCGUGAUAUGACGCAUUGGCGCUCGCACGCGGCGAGGCUGCCAGCCCUGGCCCGUCUGUCGGGCGGGGGAGAGCAAGACACGUGAACUCCUCGAAUCAGGUAGGGAUACCCGCUGAACUUAAGCAUAUCAAUAAGCGGAGGA
This 371-nucleotide unclassified non-coding RNA is filed under the name soil metagenome. Its description in RNAcentral is "partial contains 5.8S ribosomal RNA, internal transcribed spacer 2, and large subunit ribosomal RNA". The stretch from base 1 to 120 matches the Rfam family "5.8S ribosomal RNA", at positions 35 to 154 of the family's 154-position model. The record is from RNAcentral.